Molecule: unclassified non-coding RNA, 10251 nt
Filed under: Leishmania donovani
Lineage: Eukaryota; Euglenozoa; Kinetoplastea; Trypanosomatida; Trypanosomatidae
Description: gene:LdHU3.09.1090(CDS-product:phospholipid_trans porting_ATPase-like_protein_putative)
Source: RNAcentral
GAAUUCCUUGGAUACAGUACGCGGCUCUGCCGCCACACCUGCCACACACACACACACACCUGCACCUAUAUACACGCACGCGCAACGAAACAACGAAUAAGAAAGGCGGCAGACGGAGGCGUGUUGUGCACGUGGCUACACGUAUUUGAUUUGUUGUGCUCUCCUCCUCUUUUUCCUCUCGGUGACACACCCACGAAUCACAGCGUACGUGCUCGCCGUGUUGCAGCUGUGUCCUGCAGACCCGCUCACCUGCGCACACGCACACUGUUGUAUCGUCUCCGUUAGCACUCGACCACGCUCUUGGGCUCGGCCUUUGCUCUGUGUUGUUGUCGUCGUUCUUUUCCUUCACAUACGCAAGAGAGAGACGGAUCUCCACAACGCCUCAGCGUGUGUGGUGUGUGUUUGUGCGUGCACGUGUUUGCCGUGGGUCUACCUCCCUCCUCCGCGCUCAAUCAUCACUAUCCCGUCUGAUCUACGACGACGACGACUCACGCAACGGUGCUGCCCUUCCUUUUCCCUUGCACAGACGCCCUUUUCGACCUUUGGUUUCGGCCUGCGUCGCGCUGGACACACCGACGCUCGCUGCUUAUCUUCGUGUUCGCGCGUUUCCGUGCUCAGACGCAUUCUUAGCACACACACACACACACACACACACAGAGAGAGAGACAUAAACACGCACAAAGAAGAGCACAAGGAAAGGAAGGGAAAGGAGUGCAGUAAGCGAGGUAACGACACUGCUGGGCUGCCUAUCCUCCUCGCAUCGCACUACUCUCCCGCUUCCGCCCCCGCCGUCACCGGCAUUCUCCCCUCCCCCCCCCCUACAUACACCUUUGAUACUUUCCUUCGCUGCUGCUUCGCCUGCUUGCUUGGCCACUCAGGCACAUACACAAGAGCCCUCAACACACGCGUGCGCAGUAGUUCAAUAUACCACGUUCUUUCAUCUGCCUUCUCUCCCUCUCUGGUGCGCGCGCGUGUGCGCGUCUGCCGCCCACGGUUCUUCAUCGUACCCACGCUAUCCUGCCUUGUCUUUCUCUUGCCCUCCACCACCACCACCGCCACCCUCUCUCUUGAAAUCUGUUGCUGGCCGUGUCACGUGAGUGGUGGUGAGGCAACGCGCGGUGAGGCCCCAUCACGUGCACGCAGGAUCCCUCUUUUCAGCGCGUGCACUUGUUUUUAAGGAACCUGUCGGUGGCCUCGGCGGCUGUGUUGGAGAAGUGCUUGCCUUCCCUCGACUUCUCUGUGUGCCUGUGCGUGUGUGUGAGUGUGUUGUGUUCGCGUAUCGCUUGGCAUUCCCUGUAACUGCACAUCUGUUGUCUCUGUCCCUCGCACAUCGCUGUCGGUGUCUUCGGAUCCUCUCCUUCUCCGAAUACACAGACACACACGAGCAUACAUACGCCCUCCUUUCCUCGGCCUCAUAUCACGUACUCAGAAGUGCUCGAGGGCUCUCUUCUCUCAGCUUGCGAGCUGGAACCGUCGCACUGUGGCAAGUAGCGCGUGCCUGUGUGCACUGUCCUCCAUCUCGCUUUUCAGAGCUGCAGGAUCUGCGCGAAGUUCGUGGAUCCCUGCUUCUCUCUCUUGCACACGCACACAAGCGCGGCUCGUUGUCAGCUUUUCUUUUUGGAGGAGAAAAGGGAGAGUGAAUUGUGUGUGUAUAUAUAUAUAUAUGUGUUGACGCGCGGCGAAAAAGGACAAGGCGGCACAGUGGCAGGAGCAGUUGCGUGGGUGCCGUGCACGCGGCAGAGACAGAGUACGCGGAGGCCAGCAGGGCAGCGCUUUCUUAUUAUUGUUGUCGUUAGCAGAGUUCGCUGAUACGCAGAAACGCCAACGCAACGCCUUCGUCGGUUGUGUACCCCCCCCCUCCCUCCUCCUCCUAUCUCCUAUCUACUCUCUUUACAUACACGUAUCUGUAUCGCUCUAUCAACCUCUGCAUAUCUUUGGUGUGUUCUCCCUCUGGUCUUCCGCCAGUCUGCCUCCUCGUCUCUGUGUGUUUGUGUCUGUGGAAGGGUGGCAUUGGCAGCGGCAGCGCAGGAAGAGGGGGAAGACUUCUCACAUGUCUUCUCCUACCGCUGUACUUGCGCUUGUCUCUCCAUCUAUCUAGCUAGCUAUCUUAAGCGGCGUCUGUGUGUGUGUGUGUGUGUGUGUUGUCGUUGUGUGUGUGUGUGUGUCUCUGGCCUUGCCUUCUUAAUUCUUGUUUCGAUUCAUUCUUUCCUCUUUUCUCAGCUCCCCUCGUUGCCUUUGACGCUCUCCUGUUUCUGUCUCGUGCGUGUGCAAGCGUGCAUCGUUUUUUGCUGGCUCCUCACUCUUCCUCUUCGCCUUUUUCGUGAUCGAUAGACAUCGCCGGUGGCGGCUGUCGUGACGCCUGCGUAUGGUGGAGGCGAGGAUGGUUCGUCAACGCCAUCCCCACCACCUCACCCCACCUCUCGCGCACACCCCGGCGACGCUCGAACAGCGGCCGCAGCCGUAUCGGGCCCCGUCAUGGGCAAAGUAAAGGCUUCCUUCGGCAGCCUUGUCGCCGCCAUUCGGAGCACCGUUAGCUGCACGAGCCCCGGAGACAAUGUCAUUGACGACGAAGACGAGAACAAUUUUAUGGCGGACAACGCCAAGGACGGCGGCGCGUCGGAGUCUGGGCAACCGGCCUUCGUCGAAAUCGACCUGCUGCGCAGCGACCGCAAUCGGCAGCGCAACUUUCCGGACAACUCUAUCCGCACAGCCAAGUACACGCUUCUCACGGGCUUGCCGCUCAGCCUUCUCUACCAGUUCUACAAGAUCUCCAACAUCUAUUUCUUGCUUGUGAUGAUCAUCGCGCUCGUGCCAGGGGCGAGCCCGAUCAACCCCUUCAGCAGUAUUGUGCCCCUGUCCUUCGUGAUCGGCGCUGGCAUCUUCAAGGACCUCUGGGAGGACUGCAAGCGGCGCAGGGCGGAUCGCCAGGCAAACGAAAUGAUCGUCUACGUCCUGCGAGCGUGCGCGGAGGUGUCCAGCAAAGGCAGCACCACCGCCAGCAGCAGCAGCAGCGGCACUCUUACCGAGAAGCAAAACUCCACGAGUGACAGCGACGGCGCAGCCGCAGCGUCGCUGCGCGUGCACGGUGGUCACAAUCACCAGCAGAACCCUCGCCGCUGGCGGCAGCGCAUCGUGCGCGUCGUGUCGCGGCCAAGCAGCCCAAGGGAAGACACCGCGGUCAGUCGCAAGAAGUCAUAUGAUGGUAAAGGAGUGCAUGCGGUGGAAGAGGUGGAGAUGACCACCUACGGCCGAAGUUGCGGCGCAUCGACAACGUGCCCAACGGCAUUGAGCCUUCGCCGCACGUCAGCGCAGCCCCAAGAGUCAGCGACGCCGGACGCUGCAACGGAGCCGGUAGUCACGUUCCAGCCGGUGCGUAGCUGCGAAGUGUACCCUGGUGACAUCAUGCUCUUCCGCCUUGGUGAAGAAGUGAAGGCAGACUGCCUGAUCUUGAACACGUCGCUGCCGGACGGGCUGACGUACAUCGAGACGGCCAACCUCGAUGGCGAGACCAACGCGAAGACGCGCCGCGCCAAGAUCCAGACGGUGGAGGCACUGGGGACAGUGGAGGACGUGGUGGAGAAGGCUCUCGGCGUCUCACCAAGGAACGCGGCGGCCGUGCACGCCCGCAUGAACGGCAUCGAUGCCGGGCCACAGGAUGUCUGGGGUGUGUCAGGCGAAGCCGCCGCCCCAGCGAAGGUGCGCGUGGACUGCUGUGAUGCGUUUGGCGGCGCUCACGCUGUUAGCACCCCUGAACGAUGGAUGAACGCAUCAGGAGGAGGGACAGCGGCGACGGACGCCAAGCGCCUCGAUGCUUCACUGACCACGGCCUCGCCUGUCGCCCUUGGCAAGGGUUCCGGGUGGCCGAUGCUCUCGGCGAAAACCGUAGCUGCCAAAGGCGGCGACAUGGUCGUCCCCACCGCCAUCUCAGAGUCGACCUUCCCACCUGGAGACCUGCACGACUACUCGCCACAGCACCAGCACAACUCGCAGACGCCGGUCGGCCGGGAGUGCCCAGAGCGAAAAGCGGCCGAGCACGACUCAGCUGCAGCGAUAGCGGAGAGAGGGGCCGCCCCCCUCUGCCACCAGCACGAGCACAGCUUCUCUGAUCAACAGAAGCACUUCACCAGCUCCAGCACCACCGGCGUCCCCCUCGCACGUAGCAGCACGGACUUGAGUGCCGCGGUGUCAGGUAACUUCCACAGCGUGGCUAGCAAUGUCACGUCAGACAUGUCCCCAGAGCGAAUUCUGCACCAGCGACUUAUGACGUUGAAGGAGCGACUUGCCGAGGAAGGGCAGCUGCCGAUGCCACUCCAGCUUCGGCAGCUCUCGGAGCAUUACGAGCGCACCGUGCACAGUCGCACGAACAGCGCAGGUGCGCGCGUGUCCUCCCUGCACGGGUGCCCACACAACUCCACCAAUCGCGCGGGCGAAAGCGAGUCUUUGUUCGACGACGACGCCCAUCAUCAUCACAGGAGCCGUGAGUCACAACAGAGGAGAGUGGCUGAGCCACGACGACGCGACGGGGCAGGCGACGCGGAAACGGCCGCCACAGGACCGGGAUCCGGUGCCGGCCCCCGUGGCCAGUCGCGUGGCUUCUCAGCGCCCAACAAACCUGGAGUAUUUCAUAACGAGCCGCUCCACGGCAACCACAUCGCCGACGGUAGCGAUAGGGCCUUUGAAGCGGCCCCGGGCGUACUGCCCGCCUCCGGCGUGGUUCUCAUCUCCUGCCCCCCCACGCCGGACCUGUCGAUGUGGUUUGGCCAGCUGCGCUUGCCAUCAGGCGAGAUGGUGCCGCUCGGCAUUGACCAGUUCAUUCCACGGGGCUGCCUUAUCCGCAACACGGACUGGGUUAUCGGUGCGGUCGUGUACACGGGUCGCCACACCAAGAUGCUGCUGAACCUGCGGCCGAAGCCGCACAAGGUAACGAACAUGACACGGCGCCUGAACCAGAUGAACGUGCUGUUCUUUGCAUUUAAUCAGGUGCUGAUAAUGCUGCUCUGCGGGCUGGCCAUCUGGAGCAAGCGCCAACUGCUGCGCAAGGUGCCUGGGGCGAAGACCGAUCACUCGGCCUGGUACAUCCAGUGGAACCUCGAACGCUACUCGGACGUCUCGUUGUUUUGGUGGCGCUACCUGACCAACUUUGUGCUGGUGAGCUACCUCAUUCCCUUGUCUCUUUACGUCACGCUGGAAUUCAACAAGGCCAUGCAGAUGCUCCUGAUCGGCGCGGACAAGCGCAUGGCGGUCUUCGACGAGUUCACCGGGGCCAUCAAGAAAGCGCGCCCCAAGACUUCUGAGCUUAACGGCCAACUCGGCCACGUGCGCUACAUCUUCACGGACAAGACGGGGACCUUGACAGAAAACCUCAUGACGUACGUUGGCGGCGUCGUCGACGGGCACACGCACAGCGAAACGGAGCAGCCUGGCGGCAUCGGCCGUGCACUUCUUCGUCGCAGCACUGCAUACACCGCGGGCAGUGUCCUCACUAGCGUCUGUCCGAACAGUAUGGGCUCAGCCCGUGAAUCGUCACUGCGCUGUGACCAUCACAAGCAUCGUCGCCUCAGCUCGUCCCUCGGCAGAGAGGCAAGCACUCUCGGCGACGCUGCCGUAGCAGACAGUCUGGCGGGCAUGCGGGGUGAGAGCGCCCUUGUCGCCGCGAGUAACAGCAGCAGCUGUAGCGCGGCUGGCGGUGGUGACCAACACUCCUCCAACCACCCCUUUCAGCGUCUGGCGGCGGUGAUGGCGAGUCACAUAGCCGUUGACGCCCACGCCAACGGCGACGACGACACGAUCAGACAGUCACCACGCACGGUGACGGCCGCCUCCCCCGCGUCGCUGGUCGCCACGGUGGACAUCGGCGCUACCUCGCCGCAUCUGCCGCUCUCCAGCAGCUACCAGUGUGGCAGCGGAGCAUUCGGCCGGAACGCUUUCCCGGCCUUGGGCAACGCGGUCCCUGGAGCGGAUGGUAAUGAGCCUGGGGGUCUCGGCAGCUUGGCCGGGCUGCGCAACAUCAACGAAGCCGUGCUGGAGCGCGAGCCGCUAUUCUGCUAUCUACGCGCCAUCGCUCUGUGCCACUCCGUCGUGUGCUUUCCAGUGGACGCAGUCGAUGGAUUAGCGGACUCGCAGCAGGCGGCAGAGAACGGCAAAGGCGCGCCGCAGGAAACGAAAGGGCACAAAGACCGUCGCCGCGACAAGGAUCACAACGCCACCGCGGCGGUGGGCGAGGGCAGUGCGCCACAGAAGCGGAAGAAUAGCCACCAUCACAACCGUGCUGACGACGGCGCAGGCAAGGGUGCGCCGAGGCGACGUCGCGGCAGCGCUUCCACCGCAGACCCCGAUCACUCGCGGGCGCGUCAUCAGCAGAGCCACGAGACUGCCCACCACGCACCCGAUCUGGUCCCUCUCUCGAAGAUAUUAUCUCUUAACGAUAUUUCGGUUGGUAACUUCGUUGAGAUCCCCUACGCCGUUCCCGCCGGCCCCGCGGUAUGUGAAGACUUGGAGCCCUACACCGCCAGUGGCACCAACAGCGGCAGAGGUGUCAGCAUGUCGGCUCACGACCAUCUCACCCGCGCCAACACUGCAUCUUUCGUGACGGCGGCGGCGAGUGCGGAUGGCCGAGGCCAGCAUCAAUACCAUCAUCACAAGACAAACACGAAUUCCGCAGUACCAGCGGCCACGACGGUGGACUUGGGGCCCCUAACAAAGGACAUCUUCAAUCUGAGCAGGAACAACACAUCUCUGCUGCACGGCCGCACGAGCAGCACGAGCUGGUAUCAAAAUCGCUACUUUAAUCGCGCGAUGCAUAAUCGCAACCUUAGUGCGCAUGUGAGCCACGAUGGCGGCGAGCGCAACCCCACCCCUGCCGCUUCUCCUUCCACGACAAUGUACCCAGUCGGCAGCGCUGGGGAGUUUGCAGGACAAGCAGCUACCCCCGCGGAGGCGGGCGGGUCAGCAGCCGUCGCUGCAGCAGAAGCAGCAGUCCCGAUAGCGGCCUCCGAUCUCGAGCCGUUCAUUGACCGCAGCAAAAUCUACGAGGGCCAGUCGCUGGACGAGAUCGCCUUGGUGAACGCGGCGCGCGAGAACGGGUUCUCGCUCUUCGAGCGGACGGCGAAGCAGAUCUAUAUAAAGGCGCUCGGCCGCGUCAUGUGCUACGACAUCAUUGCGGAGCUCGAUUUCACGCCGCAGCGCAAGCUGAUGAGCAUUUUGCUACAACGAAGGCCUGAUUUAGACUCCGAGGCGGCGGCAACAUCGGUGGCUGCCGGCGUAAGCGCGCACUACCACCGCAGAGCACCGGAGAGCUCCGCUGCCGCAGCAGCAGCGCGCGAGGCAUCCGGUUUGUUCGCGGCCACCGCCUCAGGCGUCUUGCCCGAGUGUGGUGUGGCAUCGCGGCCCCCGCAGUCGCAAAGCCACGACGGUCUCUGUGCUUUCCCCGCGCAAGGAAAGAAGGCGAACGGAGACGGUGCCGCGAGCUCGCUGCCAGGCGAGGACGCGCGGUUGUGCCGAGCUAAGACAACCUCGGCCUUCACCACCCUCACGGCGGCUGAGUUGCCGCUGCCGCUGUCGCGCCCACGUACCGUCGUGCUCACGAGCGAAGCACAUGAGAGUACGGCAGAGCAGCGGGAAGAGGAAGACGGCAACAGGAGCGCCGACGGACCCGCUGCGAAAAUGCUUCCGCCACACAGCAUCCUCUUGCCGCCUCCGAUGAAGCAGCAGCGCGUACCCCACUUGGGCGGCUCGGGUGUGUUCACAGCAACGCCUCCGCCGAGCAGCGCGCAGCAGCUGGCUCAUCAACCGUCUGGCGGCGGCAUGUCCCCCUACCACGACGGUUUCGGGAGUAGUGCGGGCUUUGGGGUUUCUGCGGCAGCCGGUGCGCCGGCCUCGGCACCAGGAAAGUAUCUGCUACUCGUUAAAGGGGCGGACAGCAGCAUGAUGGAGAUCGUCAACAUGCAGAAGCGUGCCAACGUCCGGGUGAAGGACAAGAUGCUGAAGGAGCUGGACACGAUGUCACAGUUGGGCCUGCGCACCCUCAUCCUCGGCCAGCGCUACCUGCGCGAGGAGGAGGUGCGUGGGUGGCUGCCAAUCUUCAACGAUGCCCAAUGUGCGAUGCAGGACCGCAGCGAGAAGCUGCACAAGGCAUACGCGCUAUUGGAGAAAGACGUCGACAUUGUGGGUGCCACCGCGGUGGAGGACAAGCUGCAAGAAGAGGUGCCGCAGACGCUGGAGUUCUGCAUACAGGCGUCCAUUGUGGUGUGGAUGCUGACGGGCGACAAGCGAGAGACGGCCGUCACUAUCGCCCACACUAGCGGUCUUGUCAAGGCUGGCUACACCGACUACGUGUGCCAUCUCGACGUCUCUGACAUUAUCGAGGAAGAGGCGUUGCUGCAGCAGAAGCAGCGGUACAAAGAGACGUGUCGCCUUAAGGCGAAAGACGGCAUUGGCGAUGGGGUAUCAUCGCUGGAGAACGUGUCUUCGAGCUCGUCGGACGCCGAUAGUGCCUUGCAUUCACCAGUGGCGAGCACGACAACCCGGGCACACCUGAGCGGGUCGUCUCGCAUGCAUUCGCCGCAGCUGCCCAAGGCACUGACGCAGGCGGGCAGCGUCGACCACGCCACUGUCGUCUCCACUGCAAGUCCGCUGCAAGAAACCGCGAACACGAUCACAGGCGGUGAUUCCAUAGGAGCUGGGACGAGCAUCGCUGUCGACGCGGCGCAGAGAUUCCUCAUGCGCAAGUGCGCCCGCAUCGAGGAGCAGCUGAAAGCGGCCGAGGACAAGUGCAGCGAGGGGCAGGAGGUGUUUGACGACCGCGUCGUCGUCAUCGUGGUGGACGGCAAGACGCUGGACUUCAUCUUUCAGGACUGCAACCGUGCGCGCCGCUUCUUCCUCCUUGGCAGUCGCUGCCGCAGCGCUGUGUGCUGCCGCAUGACCCCGCUCCAGAAGGCGAAGGUUGUGCGGAUGUUUAAGCGCAACGCAAACGCCGUGGUGCUCGCCAUCGGUGACGGUGCCAACGACGUGUCCAUGAUUCAGGAGAGCAGCAUCGGCGUCGGUAUCAUGGGCUUGGAAGGGUCGCAGGCAGAGCUGGCAAGCGACUACGCCCUCCCGAAGUUUCGCUUCUUGAAGCGGCUGCUCUUCGUCCAUGGCCGCUUCUCCGUCUUCCGCGAGGCACACUGCGUCGUCUAUUCUCUGUACAAGAACGUGAUUGUGACGGUGGGCAUGGUUAGCUACCAAUUCUAUGUUGGCUACUCGGGUCAGACACUGAUAGACUCGUGGCUUCUGGGGAUGUUCAGCGUCUUCCUCUGCUCUCUGCAACCGCUGAUGAUUGGCAUCCUAGACAAGGAUGUCGAGGACGAGCUGGCCGAGUCCCUGCCGAGGCUGUACCCGCCCCUGUCACGCGAGUCCAUGUACUUCUCCUGCACGUACAUCAUCAAGUGGCUCGUCGACGGUCUCAUCGAGGGUCUCAUCUUCUUCUUCUUCCUCAUGUACACGGUUGGCGUGCAGGACAACCUGUACACGCACAUGACCGCAGCCAUCGAGGACUACGGCGCCACCUUCUUCACGAUGCUCGUCCUUGUCGCCGACCUCCGUGCCGGCACCCUGGUGACGUACUACAUGCUGCCCUUUGCGCUCGUGAUCGGGCUGGCCAUCAUCCUCGUGCCGGCCCUCGAGCUCGCCUACGCCGCCCUGCACGACCUCGCCGGGAGCAACUGGUUUGUGCACGUGGCGAACGAGCUGUACGGCACGUCUGGCAAGUUCUGGCUGAUGCUGUUCUUUGCCUGCGGGGUGCUCGUCGUCUUCACCAUGGCGUCGAACAUGUACAUACAACUCUUCGCGCCGUGGCACAAUGCCGGUUUCGCCAUGCGCGCUGCCCGAAGAUCGCACCACCGCAUCCCGCACCAGCACACCAAGGAGGAACUGAAGGCCGAGUACACUCGGCUGCUUGCCCGGUGCGAGGAGCUGACCAAGUUGCAGCAGAAGCGGAAGGAGUCUGCAGCGAAGAACAGCGGCGCCAAAGGUAAGACCCAAAUGACGACAACGGCAGCAGCUGCAGCGCGGUGAGAUGGAUAUUCGCGGUACUGGGAAAGGAGCAAGGUCGAGGAAGGGUACGAAAGGGAGAGUGUGCAAACCUGCGUGCUCAUCUCUCUCUCUCGUCGUGUGCAACGGCCCUCCGCCCUCGGCCCACCCCUCUCUCUUUCUAUCCGCUGCUUCGCAUCACGCUCCACGUGCACGUGAACGGCUCGCCGAGCAAAGAAACAAAGG